Molecule: ribosomal RNA, 468 nt
Filed under: uncultured bacterium
Lineage: Bacteria
Description: partial 16S ribosomal RNA
Rfam family: Bacterial small subunit ribosomal RNA
Source: RNAcentral
GACGAACGCUGGCGGCGUGCUUAACACAUGCAAGUCGAACGGAAAGGCCCUGCUUUUGUUGGGUUCUCGAGUGGCGAACGGGUGAGUAACACGUGAGUAACCUGCCCUUGACUUUGGGAUAACUUCAGGAAACUGGGGCUCAUACCGGAUAUGAUCUCCUGCUGCAUGGUGGUGGUUGGAAAGUUUCGGCGGUUCGGGCUGGACUCGCGGCUUAUCAGCUUGUUGGUGGGGUAGUGGCUUACCAAGGCUUUGACGGGUAGCCGGCCUGAGCGGGUGACCGGCCACAUUGGGACUGAGAGACGGCACAGACACCUACGGGAGGCAGAAGGGGGGAAGAUUGAACAAUGGGCGGAAGCCUGAUGCAGCAACUCCGCGGGCGGGAUGACGGCCUUAGGGGUGUAAACCGAUUUCGCCUGUGACGAAGCGUGAGUGAAGGUAAUGGGUAAAGAAGCACAGGCUAAAUACGUG